CAACGAGGAGGACAGAGUGAGGAGGCCACCACGAGGAGGACACCCACGAGGAGGACGUGAAUGAGGAAGAUACAACGAGGAGGACACCCACGAGGAGGACACCCACGAGGAGGACACC
This is a long non-coding RNA of Cygnus olor (mute swan), 118 nucleotides long. RefSeq lists it as uncharacterized. The record is from RefSeq and is a predicted model, not a curated record. The transcript is spliced from 2 exons. Lineage: Eukaryota; Metazoa; Chordata; Aves; Anseriformes; Anatidae.